GGCCUCCUCUGCUCUGGCUCAUCGAGGGAUCUGCCAUGGGGCCCGGUGAGGGGUGCUGGGCAGCAGGACAGAGGGGCACGUGCAGUGGGGACAGUGGCUCGAGCGGUGGAACUCUAGCCCCAGGAGCCGUACCGACUCCCACUCGCUCCUGAAGACGUCUUGAGCUCCUCCAAUUAGUCGAAUCUGUUGAGGCGAAAUCCUCAUAUUCCGGUGCUACAAAGGCAGCCGUGCUCAUGCAGGGGUUCUGGUCGGGGUCGGCCCGAGAUGGGGAAGGAAGACGGUGACGGCACAGCAUCAGCGUGCACCCGGCGCUUGUGAUGCCCCUUCUGGCACCUGCAGGCCGCCCCUCUUCCUCUGCUGCCAGCAUCCCACAGAGGACGGGGGCCCCUCCGGGAACAGGAAUCCCUCCCAGACACAGACUGUGCCCCUGCACUCCCAGGGCACAAUGCAAAAUGCUGUUUGAACUCAGGCCGGACAGGAUCUCACCAAGAUCAGCAGGAACGAGGAGGCCUGGCAGGAGCACAGACCCCAGAGAAAAAGCAAAACCACCAGAGAGGGGACGGUUGGGGGCGUCCUCACAGCCCUGCUCUGACGUGUUGUCCACACUCACCUGAAACCUCUGCACGAAGCAAAUGUCCUGAGCUCAGUUGCAGUAUGUGUCUGAGGGACUCGUUCCCUGGGUCUGUACUGCAGUUAGACCAUGUGCUCCUCAACAUCCCAUUUCCUCACCAACGUGAAACUCACGUAAACAUAAAAUUAGCUAUUUUAAUGUAUACAUCCUGGUGGGGCUUAGUGAAUUCAUGACAUGGCCAAACCAUCAUUCCAUCUAGCUCCAAAGAAACUUCACCCCAAGAACACAUCACCCCAAAGAAACUUCUGUGCCCACUGAGCAAUCAUCUUGCUGCCCCACUGCCCAGGCCCUAGUGACCACCCCGCUGCUGUCUCCAUAGACUUGACUGUUCUGAAUAUUUCAAGUACAAGAUGUAACCUUCUGUGCCUGGCUUGUUUCUCUCCAUACAAUCCGAUCUAGGUUGGCACAGGUUUAGCUUUCUGGGGCCUUCUGAGCUCCCUCCUGUUACGGCUGGAUAAUACUGCACCGCGGGGCCAGGCCACAUUUGGUCUACCGUCCACCUGCUGCAAGAACGUGUAAGCUGCUCUGCAUUCUGACUGUGGAUAACGUGUUCAGAACCUUUGGGGACACGUAUUUGACUUUAUUUCCAGGUCUUGGGGGUGUGUGACUAGGAGAGGGCUUGCAGGGUCACAUGGUAACUCUGGGUUUAACUUUUUGAAGAACUACUAUCCUGUCUCCCACAGCAACUGAUCCGUUUCGUGUCCUACCACCACCUGAUGCUGAUACCUCCACAUCCUCACUAGCUGACACUUGUCUGUCCUUAUCAUCAUCGUUCUCCUGGGUGUGAUGUUGUUUCCACUUCAUGUUGCUGAUGGCUAGUGAUGUUGAGCACCUCUUUUUUUUUUUCUAAAAUUUUAUUUAUUUAUUCAUGGGAGACACACAGAGAGAGGCAGAGACAUAGGCAGAGGAAGAAGCAGGCUCCCUGCAGGGAGCCGGAAGCGGGGGUUCAAACCCAGGACCCCAGGAUCACAACCUGAGCUGAAGGCAGACGCUCAACCACUGAGCCAACCAGGUGUCCAAUGUUGAGCGGACAUUUGUUUAUUUAUCUUCUUUGGAGAAACAUCUAUCCAAACGCACGGCCCAUUUUUUCAAUUGAGGUUUUUGCCUUCUUUGUUGUUGGGUUGUAAGAGUUCUUUAUACACUCUUAAGACCCUGCCAGAUCUCUGGGUUGUCAAUGCAUUCUUUCAUUUAAGUGAUUUGUCUUUUUACUUCCUUGAUAAUGUUCUUUGGUACACAAAUGCUUUUCAUUUCGAAAGAGCAGUUUAUCUAGUUUGUUGUGUUGCUCAUGCUUUUUGUGCCAGAUUUAAGAAUCCAUUGCCAAAUUCUCGGUUGUAAAGAUUUAACUGUUUCUACCUGAGAGUUCUGUACUUUUAGCUCUUAGACUUAGGUUGCCAACUCAUUCUAAGCUGAUUUUUGUGUAGAGUGUGAGAUGAGGGUCAACUUUCUUCUUUUACAUGUGGAAAUCCAAUUUCCCUGCAUCAUUUUGUUGGAGAUGAUUCCUUCCUCCUUGGGUGGUCCUGGAGCCCCUUUUGAAAACCAACCAGCCAAAAGGACACAGGUUUGUUUCUGAACUCUGGUCUAUCCCAUUGCUCUAUAGGUCUGUCCUUAUGACAGUUUUAAAUUAUGUAAAUAUGGGUAGCCCCGGUGGCCCAGCAGUUUGGCACUGCCUUUGGCCUGGGGUGUGAUCCUGGAGACCUGGGGUCAAGUCCUGCGUCAGGCUCCCUGCGUGGAGCCUGCUUCUCCCUCUGCCUGUGUCUCUGCCUCUCUCUCUCUCUCUCAGUCUCUGUGACUGUCAAGAAUAAAUAAAUAAAAUUUUUAAAAAUUCUGUAAGUACUGUAGAUUUGUGACAAGUUUUAACACCAGACGGUGUGAGUUCUCCAGCUUUUUUGCCCUACCACUCAGCAUUGUUUCAGCUCUUCAGAGACCUUGGAUCCCAUAAAAGUUUGAGAAUCACCUUUUCCAUUUCUACAAAUGAGGCCAUGUGAAUUUAAACGAGAACCCUACUGACCCCAUGACCACAGGGGGUACCGUACCGGUACUGUCCUCACAAUAUUGACACCUUCCUUCUGUAAACAUGGUAGGUCUUUUGGUUUAGGUUUGAGCUCAUUUCUUUUAGCAAUGCUUUCCAUUUUUAUUCUACAUGUCUUUCACCUCCUUGGUUGAAUUUAUUUCUACGUAUUUUAUUGUUUGGGAUGCUUUUGUAAAUGGGAUUGUUUCUUCACUUCACUUUCCUAUCACAUGUUGCAAGUGGACAUAAACACAACUGAUGCUACACUGUGAGCUUCCUGCAUUUCCCACGCUUCCCACCUUGUUGCUCUAAGAUUGACGUACAACAUUGUCAUUACAUUUCAGGUGUACUCAGCGGUGCCUUGGGGACUCAGUCAGUGAGGUGUCUACCUUCGGCUCAGGGCAUGUUCCCAGGGUCCUGGGAUCGAGUCCUGCAUCAGGAUCCCUGCUUGAUAGGGCUGCUUCUCCCUCCCCCUCUGCCUCUCACCCUGCUCAUGCUCUCUCUCUUUCUCUCUCUCUCUCUUUCAAAUAAAUAAAUAAAUAAAUAAAUAAAUAAAUAUUCAAAGUGUACUCCCAUUUUUUUCAGAUCUCUGAAAAUUAUGGCACCAGAAAAGAAAGGUUUGGAAA
This 3265-nucleotide long non-coding RNA is filed under the name Canis lupus familiaris (dog). RNAcentral's name for it is "lncRNA (ENSCAFG00030004984.1)". The record is from RNAcentral. Lineage: Eukaryota; Metazoa; Chordata; Mammalia; Carnivora; Canidae.